AACCCAGUAGCCAACAGCUAUUCAUCAGUUACUCGUCUGUAACCCGACACCUUUACCCUACAGUUAGGUCUGGAUGGGAACUCUUUCAUCCUUUUCACAAACCUCAUCUCCACCUACAUCUUUAGAAGUUUAGGAACAUCGAUCAACAGUGAUGAAACUCUUCUUGGUGUUGUCACAAAGUCCAGUGGAAAGCAACAUUGUGUAAAAUAAUAGUAUGUACAGUAAUAUGUUCAUUUUACAUCCACAUUGCUGUUUGGUGGAGCUGCGUCAGAGCUGUCAAAUCCACCAGUGGCUCCUGGCAUUAUACCUGAACUGGACAUUGCCUUGGCUGCACGGAGUUAAGUUCCAACACUGGAAUGUGAGAUGUAAUCUACAUCUCGAUUAGGAUGAUAAAACCCUUAUUUUGUUGAAUGAUUUUUACAUUUGAAAGUAGUUAUUUCUAUAUAGGCUACACUUUCUCGUUCUGAACUUAUAAAGCGAAUGGGGGCAGGUGUGGCUUCAUGAAGAUGCCAGAGCAGCUGCUCACUGAUUUGACAGCUCCAACACAGUUCCACUACCAAGUCAUCCACUAUGCAGGUGUCUGCUAUCGCUGGUUAAUGCUCUGAUUGAAUCUAGGCCUUAGUAGUAGUAAUAAGUUAGCGGUAGUAGUUAUUAGUGAUAGUAGGCUUCCAUAUGUUUGUUGUUUUUAUUUCUUAUGAAAUUGUAGUUCGCAAAUUUCUGUGAAAAUAGACAAAAUGCUUUUUGAUCUUUGGCCAAUAGAGAGAGUAGAGUACAGUAUAUUCAAAGUCUGUGUCGAAUAGCAGAAGAUUUUUUUAAACCACUUCCUGUCUAGGCUUGAUAAACCAGUCUACUUGUUACCUGGAGGGGCGUGGUUAUAUGGAGGCCAGUGAAUCUGCAGUUUACUCACCUUGUUCGUAACAGUGCUCACCCUUAAGUCUCUUUCCCAUUGCUCUCACACACAAACACAUCCCAGAGGAGAAACUACCAAGAGAGAAGAAUCAUGUCUGUGGAAGUCCACAUAGAAUAUUGUAGUGGAUGAGGGUACGACUCUCGCUAUCAGGACCUAGCAUCUGCCAUCAAGCGGAACGUUCCUGAUGCGACGGUGACGGGAACCACGGGGCGGCGCUCCAGUUUCGAGGUAACAAUGAAUGGUAAACUGGCCUUCUCUAAACUGGAGGCAGGAGGAUUCCCAGACAGCAAGGAGAUGGUGGCGAUGGUGAAGGAGGUGAGCCGCGGAGGAAAGGUUGAGAGAGUGAAGAAGAAGGAUAAUAAGUGUGUUCUCCAAUAGAUGAGUGGAUAUUAAGAGAGGGAGAGAAGGAGUGUUUUUUUAAGAUCCUGGGUCCUGAUCUGAUUCUAUUAAUGAUUGUUCACAAUGAAACUAAGGAUGUGCAACAUGAUGAAGUCUACAGUCAUUUCAACUCUGUGAUCUGAGGGAAAUACUCUCAUCCUGUGUCUCUGUUUUAUACUGUCAUGUCUUAUGUUAUUCCUUGUGUUAUACAGACAAAGAUAUUAUAGACUGACUAGCGUUUAGUUUUACAUUCUAGAAAUUAUAUUGUACUCAAUGUAGACCUCUGCAGUUGUAUAGGCUGUACGUGUAUUUUUAAACGAUCACAUAAAUUCUAUGAAUCAAUUA
This is a long non-coding RNA of Salvelinus fontinalis (brook trout), 1633 nucleotides long. RefSeq lists it as uncharacterized. The record is from RefSeq and is a predicted model, not a curated record. NCBI's taxonomy places the organism in Eukaryota, Metazoa, Chordata, Actinopteri, Salmoniformes, Salmonidae. The transcript has 4 exons.